This 874-nucleotide long non-coding RNA is filed under the name Homo sapiens (human). RNAcentral describes it as "HSALNT0147116". The record is from RNAcentral. Lineage: Eukaryota; Metazoa; Chordata; Mammalia; Primates; Hominidae.
UAACAAAGAGCAACAUUUUCUCUAACACAAAAUGUAAGAGUACAGAAGGCAGGGGCACCACCUUCUUUUAAAUUAUCCCUAAUGAUCAUUUCCUAGGUGAAAGGAAAGUUGAAUGUGGCAAAAAGUGUUGGAAGGAGCUGAUGUCAAAACUCUGGUUUUGUAGACUGUGUCUGCUGAAGAAAGAAGGAAACUGAGGAUUGGACUAUGCGCAGAAGUGUUUGUAGUGUCUACCAUUCCUUGCAGCAUUCUUCACAAUAGCAAGGAUAUGGAAUCAACCCAAGUGCCUAUCAAUGGUGGAUUGGAUAAAGAAAAUGUGGAAGAUAUAUACACCAUGGAAUACUAUGCAGCCAUAAAAAAGAACAAAAGCAUAGCCUGUGCAACAGUGGAAAUGGAGCUAGAAGUCAUUGACCUAAGCAAAUUAAUACAGAAACAGAAAACAAAAUACCUCAUGUUCUCAUUUAAAAGUGGGAGAUAAACAUUGGGUACACACAAAUACAAAGAUGGAAACAAUAAGCACUGGGGAUUCCAAAAGUGGGGAAAAGGAGGGAGAGAGGGUUGAAAAACUAUGUAUCAGGUACUGUUUGCUACUUGGGUGAUGAGAUUAUUAGAAACUCAAAGCUCAGAAUCAUGCAAUGUAUUCAUUUAGCAAACCUACACACGUACCCACUGAAUCUAAAAUAAAAUAAAGACAGGAUUUUGAAUGUUCUUAAGACAAAUAAGUAAUAAAUGUUUGAGGUGACAGAUAUAAUUACCCUGAUUUAAUUAUUACCCAAUGUACGCAUGCAUUGAAACAUUCUAUUUUACCCCAUACGUAUGUAAAAUUAUGUAUCAAUUAAAAAUUUUUUAAGAGGAAAAAAAUAGCAACUCUUCUGCC